CCCUACCAAUGAUUGGUACAUUUUAUUACGCGGUAUAGGUAACUUAAACGAUUGUCAUUCCUGGCAAUUGCGAAAAAACUAUCUGUCAUCAUUUCAAUUUUCGUCAUGCGGAUAACAACAAUAAAGUUGCUGUAUUAUAGGUUUUUACAUAUGGCCCACCUAAUCGCGCAGAGCGCAGAGAAACGAUUCAGAAUGGAGGUACUUUGCGAACCAGAGGAGGUGGAGGUAUCGUGCUGGGAAUAACCGGCGGAGAGGGUGAUAACUUGGCGGAUAAACACCCGCAUGAUUUGGUGGACCAUUGUUUCUCUAAGUUGGUUAAAUAUGACAAGUGUCGGCAGUACUUGCGGGGGCUAAUACAUAAGAAAUUGAUAUGCAAGCAGUAUAAUAUCAUAGUGCUCGGCUACGGGAUUUCAACCGUGCGCAGCGGAAACUGGCAGUCGGACGGCAGCUGCCGACGCCGCAGAUUGUCAUAAUACUUUGCAAAGAGUUCGAACAGAAAGCGAUGUGUAAUUUGAACCUGAAUCUGUACAAGCUGUAUAGAACUACGACGAGGUUAACAAAUUGCGUGACUCACUCAACGAAAAUCUAAUCAACAUCGAUCUGAACAGCUACUCACCGGAGUGUGUAGCCACGGUGCUGAAGAAAUCCUUACGGGAGCUGUCAUUCCGGUAAGUGAUGUGGUAGCAGUUGAACAACUCCGGUCGCAUAUACAGGAUCUGCCAAUUUACCACAACAUGACGCUCAAGUACAUCAUGAUCCAUCUAAUACGAAUAUGUCGAAUGCAGUACCAACGGGUACUGAAAGAGGAACCGAUAAUACUGAUACACAUUCUAAUACGUCCUCCUUGGGAGAAAAUUGUUCAAAUCGCGUAUAACACGGAAAACCACUUGCGAGUAAUGGAACUGUUGCUCUAUAAGCUGGACUGUAAAGAAAAACUACCAGGAUUUCUGUCUGCUCCCGUGGUACACACACGGAAAAUCUCCCGAAGGGCGACUGUGUUACAGCAGCAGCAACAAAAAAUAUCCGGGUUCAUCCACUGUUUUACCCAGCUAGUCGCGAAUAAUUUUCAACGUUGAACGUAUGCUGAAGGGUCGUUACGUUGCCGGUGUAUGUGAAUGUUUUCAUAAUUGCAUGGUAGAAUGACUAGCGUAAAGUGACGGGACGGGACGUGAACAUGACGUGGAUGUUGUUUGUGAAUCGCACUUAACACUCCUAUACUCGCGCAUUGGUCUGUCAGACCGAGAAAUCAAUAAUUCGUUUUUUUCUCAGAAAAUAUCAACACUACGACUUUGCGAUUCUCUCUAGCUUCGUUAUUCGUCGUUCAUCAUCGUUUAGCGUAUCGCACGUGUUGGUACAAAGGGGAUGUGUGCCACUUUUUUAACACUUUCGGUCUGACACACCGACGCGAGUAUAGGAGUAACUUUUUUGGAUAAAUGCCUUUUUUCAUAUUCUAGAAUAUUAUUGAAUGAAAUUUAUUAAUUAAUGUUAAUGGCGUGGAAUAUUUAUUGAAUAUAAUGGAUAAGAUCAUUAGAGGACUAUUCUUAUUUGAUUUCAGUCCCUUUUGUAACUGAAUUGAACGGAUCCAUAUAUUAACUAUUCUUCGAUAUAUUUGUCGUUAGAUUCAUACGUUCAAAAGCAAAAUAUAAAUGUUUGACUUUCGUAUAGUUAUUCGCUAAAUAUAAUGGUCAUACAUAUACACACUUGUGGAAGAAUUGUAAACAGUAAACUAUAAACUAAUCGGUAGCUUAUGGUAAUUUUAACAGUUACAGUUUCGUGGAUAUUUUUUUAUAAUGGAUAAUAUCGACAUAAAAACAAGAAAAAGAAAAAGAAGUUACUAGAAAUCCUUUUAUAUCAUCUUUUUAUGCCCCAUCUAAAAAGGCAUUCAUUCUUAGUUUACCAAGAAAACAGAGACAAAGAAUAUUAGAAAUGUGCAAACUUUAUAUUUCAGAACCUUUAUCGUAUGGUAAUUAUCUAGAAGGUACAUUCUUCUCUUCAAUAGAAGAUCCAAACACACGCAACUGAAUGAAAUGUAGAAAAUAUAUUUGUUUCGAGCAUGCAGUUAUGCUAUGUUCUGAUUCUUACUCCAAUGAAACCACAAUCAAUUAAUACAUUUUUAUGUUAUUUUAUAGCUCUUUAUACUUCCAUGAAUUAUAUUCAGUUGCUUACUUUUAAUUAAUAACACUGAAAAAUUCGAAUUUCGUUAUUUGUGUUGGAGUAUCAAAAAUUACUCUAUUUUGAGGAGGCUAAAUUAGAU
This is a long non-coding RNA of Toxorhynchites rutilus septentrionalis, 2254 nucleotides long. RefSeq lists it as uncharacterized. The transcript is spliced from 3 exons. The record is from RefSeq and is a predicted model, not a curated record. NCBI's taxonomy places the organism in Eukaryota, Metazoa, Arthropoda, Insecta, Diptera, Culicidae.